UACGGAGGGGCUAGCGUUGUUCGGAAUUACUGGGCGUAAAGCGCACGUAGGCGGCUUUGUAAGUUAGAGGUGAAAGCCCGGAGCUCAACUCCGGAACUGCCGUUUAAGACUGCAUCGCUUGAAUCCAGGAGAGGUGAGUGGAAGUUCCGAGUGUAGAGGUGAAAUUCGUAGAUAUUGGAAGAACACCAGUGGCGAAGGUCGGCUCACUGGACUGGUAUUGACGCUGAGGUGCGAAAGCGUGGGGAGCAAACAGGG
This 255-nucleotide ribosomal RNA is filed under the name uncultured bacterium. RNAcentral describes it as "partial 16S ribosomal RNA". It matches the Rfam family "Bacterial small subunit ribosomal RNA", at positions 524 to 777 of the family's 1533-position model. The record is from RNAcentral.